Benincasa hispida (wax gourd) is the source of this 2051-nucleotide non-coding RNA. The record is from RefSeq and is a predicted model, not a curated record. NCBI's taxonomy places the organism in Eukaryota, Viridiplantae, Streptophyta, Magnoliopsida, Cucurbitales, Cucurbitaceae.
AUGAAUAUAAUGUCUCCCAUUAAUAAUUUCUUUUGUACAUAAUGUUUUAAAUAUUAUCUUCAUCUCUCUCCCUCUCUCUCUCUUCCUUAUCUUUAUAAAACCCCUUUUGGCGUUCUGUCUUAGAUCCAUGGGAGUAGUUGUAAUUUUGUUGAUGUUUCAAAGGAACUUGUUUAGGGUUAAGAGAGCUUUCUUCAGUCCACUCACGGGUGGCGUUUAGGGUUUAAUUAGCUGCCGACUCAUUCAUUCAAAUACUGACUCAUAAAAUUCAUGGCCUAUGGAUUCAGUAAACGACUGAAUGAUGCGGGAGACAAAUUGAAUCUUAAGCUUCCUGUACUUGGACUGAAGGGAGCUCCCUUUCCUUUUACCUUCUUCUUCAUUCAUUCUUUGAUCUUUUCCCCCCUUUUUCUUAGCUUAUUCUUUCAAGAUCUCUUUGUUCUAUGGUUAACCACAUUUUUCUGUAACUUUUGUUGUAAGUUAAAUGUUCCAGACACCCACUUUUACAUUUGCAAUGUUAUGUUGUAAGGAAAAGAAAAUUCUUGUUUUUGUUUUUUGCUUUGUUUUUAGCUUUCUUAUCAAUCAAGAAGAUCAAGGUUUCUUCGUCAGCAUACCUCAAUGGUUAAGACAUCCUCAAACUUCAUUAGAGUACUUAAUGAAAGCUUGGAUUCAGAUUUGCCCAGAGAAGACCCAUUUGAGAAAAUUUCAGGUAAAAUGACUAAUGUUUUCUUCUUUUUGUUUGGUUAUUAAUGUUUAAUAAUAUUAAUGGAAGGGGUGGAUUAGGGUUUUUGGAAAAGAUGGAAUAUUUUAGAGAGAGAAAAGGAGUUUAAUGGACACAAGGUUCAGCACACACACCAUAGCUUCUUGGGUGAUGGUCUUUGUGCUGCAACAAGUUCCCAGACAUGUUAUAUUACACCUUUCCCAGAGAGUUUUAUUAAAGAAAACAAAUUUGGUUAUGAAUUUACUGUUUUACCCCUUCUAUUUCUAUACAAUGACUCUCAUAGAUUUUAUUACAUUAAUCUUAAAAAAUCUCAGAAAACGACUGUUUUUCCUCCUCCUGUUUGUCUGAUUAGUUUCUGAGAUUUUUGUUUUGUUUUGUUUUCUAGUUUCUUUUUUCCCUUCCUUUCCUGCAUGUUUAUUACGACUUCUUCUAGGGUUCUGUCCUUUUUCAUUUGUUCAAGGUGGAUUUAAGGUUUUUUUUUUUUUUUUUAAUAAAAAAUGAUUAUGGAAGUUAAAUGGAUUAUGUAAAAGUUGCUUUAGUUUAAUGGGUAAUUGAUUUAUCAUUUUUAGGUACAAGAAAAGCAACUGAAUGAGAUUGAAGAGGUUCUCUAUGCUGUAAACUUUUCUUUUUUCUCUUUCUAUUUUGCUUAUUGAUAUAGCAUCUUCAAACAAUUUAAAAUAAAAACUAUCUGAUAUAUACUUAAUUAUACCCCAAGAUUUGGAGUUUUACACAUGUUUGAGAAAAGUGAUGAAAGAAGGAAGCAAAAGAACUAAAAAGUUAUUGAAGGGAUGGGAGAUCUCUCCCAUUAUGUUGAUUUAAGAAUCUAUGUUUUUGUUUCCUUUGAGUAAGAUUGAGUUGGAAAGUUUAGAUUUUUAAUUGAGGGUAGCUAGGAAAAAAAAUGGGGUUUAGCUGGAAAUUUUGUUGGUUUAGGAUGUCAUUAUAUAGCAUGUAUGAUAAAUUCUAUGGUUUGAAUAUGAACAAAUGUUAAUAUUUUCAAUAUCAAAUUCAAAAGUUGAAACCAAAUACAUUGUUGUGUUUUUAUUGUGAAAAUAGGUAUUGGUGCAUUGCAUCAUAACUCCUCAUCAAACCCUAGAAUAUCUGUUCUAGGCAAAAUCUCUCUUUUUAUUCCAAAAAAAAAAAAAAAAAAACCCCUUUUUCAAUCUUAUGAUGGUUUUCUUCUCUUUUCUGGCUGGUCAUGUUUGAGCAAUUUUAUUGUAGGACAAAGUUUUGGUAUUUUCAAAGUCAAUUUCAUAAUCAUUUUGUUUCUUAAAAGAAAAAGAAGAGGGGGAAAUUAAAAAAAAAAAAAAAAAAGAGAGAGAGAGAGAGAGAAAUAUGU